UAUGGCUCAGGAUGAACGCUAGCGGCAGGCUUAACACAUGCAAGUCGAGGGGCAUCGGGAGUAGCAAUACUUGCCGGCGACCGGCGCAAGGGUGCGUAACGCGUGAGCAACAUGCCCGUAUCAGGGGGAUAAUCCAUGGAAACGUGGUCUAAUACCCCAUAGUAAUUAUGUAAGGCAUCUUAUAUAAUUUAAAGCUUUGGUGGAUACGGAUUGGCUCGCGUGACAUUAGCUGGAUGGUAAGGUAACGGCUUACCAUGGCUACGAUGUCUAGGGGUUCUGAGAGGAAGGUCCCCCACACUGGAACUGAGACACGGUCCAGACUCCUACGGGAGGCAGCAGUGAGGAAUAUUGGACAAUGGAUGGAAAUCUGAUCCAGCCAUGCCGCGUGCCAGGAAGACGGCCCUAUGGGUUGUAAACUGCUUUUGUAUGGGAGCAAUAAGGGCUACGUGUAGUCCGAUGAGAGUACCAUACGAAUAAGCACCGGCUAACUCCGUGCCAGCAGCGGC
This 506-nucleotide ribosomal RNA is filed under the name uncultured bacterium. Its description in RNAcentral is "bacterial SSU rRNA". It matches the Rfam family "Bacterial small subunit ribosomal RNA", at positions 18 to 518 of the family's 1533-position model. The record is from RNAcentral.